UUGGAGGGCAAGUCUGGUGCCGGCAGCCGCGGUAAUUCCAGCUCCAAUAGCGUAUAUUAAAGUUGUUGCAGUUAAAAAGCUCGUAGUUGAAUUUCGAGAUCAAUUUGUCGGUCGUGCCUCGGUAUGUACUGGCAUUAUUGAUUUCUCCCUUCUGAAGAACCGCGAUGUCAUUAAUUUGGUGUCGUGGGGAAUCAGGACUGUUACUUUGAAAAAAUUAGAGUGUUUAAAGCAGGCGCACGCUUGAAUACAUUAGCAUGGAAUAAUGAAAUAGGACGUUUGAUUCUAUUUUGUUGGUUUCUAGGAUCGACGUAAUGAUUAAUAGGGAUAGUUGGGGGCAUUAGUAUUCAAUUGUCAGAGGUGAAAUUCUUGGAUUUAUUGAAGACUAACUACUGCGAAAGCAUUUGCCAAGGAUGUUUUCAUUAAUCAAGAACGAAAGUUAGGGGAUCGAAGACGAUCAGAUACCGUCGUAGUCUUAACCAUAAACUAUGCCGACUAGGGAUCGGAUGAUGUUAAUUUUUUAAUGACUCAUUCGGCGCCUUACGGGAAAC
This 548-nucleotide ribosomal RNA is filed under the name uncultured Glomeromycotina. RNAcentral describes it as "SSU rRNA". It matches the Rfam family "Eukaryotic small subunit ribosomal RNA", at positions 548 to 1098 of the family's 1831-position model. Lineage: Eukaryota; Fungi; Glomeromycota. The record is from RNAcentral.